AGACUGCUGCUGAAAUACAACAACCAUCAAACACUGGAGGCAGUGGCCUUUCAAAAGAAGAGCUCAACAUUACAAAGUCUGUGACUAUGUCCAACCCAGAAUACAUAGUCUACACAGACAGUUAGCUUGAACAGGCGCGACCCUCCUACUUCAAGCAGAAAUGGCUGGGGACAGAGCACAUUGUGGCCUUAUCCAAGGAGCUCUUCUGCUGACUCAUAAGAAACACUAUGACUAAAAUGAUUACAAUUGCAAAAGCCACAGAGGACUCCAGAUACCCCAGCAAACAUGAGGUCAAAGUGAUUGGUGGAGUACUACCCAGUGAUGAAAGACAGGUCAUCAAACAUUGAGUGGCUUAUGAAGAGAGUCUCAAAUGUCAGAAGUCCAAGGAAGGCCAAGGUUCCUCCUUUGAAGGAACCAUGAGAGGAUGGGGAAAUCCAUGCAGAUGUUGCAACAAGUGACUACAGUGGAGAUUCCAGUGCAUCACCAUUAGUCUGGAGUAAUCAUCUGUUAGAGCCAGCACCCCAAGCAACACCAGGAUAGCAGUGAUGAAGCAUGUAUUUUUAAGGGAGCAAGACCGACAAAGAUUCUAGUUGCUUACCCUUGUUUCAGAGAUGUGGAUCACGUCCCGGAUGACCUGCGGAGAAUUAUUCAACCAAACAAUUCCUGGUACAUUUGAAGGACAGAUGGGAAAGCUUCUACUCAAAGGUCUAGUUUUAUAGUGUCAUGAAGAAAGCCAUAUGAAGCCUCCAAAAACUUUGAAUGGAGGUGAAGACACAACACCUUGAUUUGUCCAAGUUUAUAUUUUGAGAUCUCAUGAUGAGUGGGAAUUAAUGGUACUGCCUUGUAUUGUGCCUUUUCUGUUAAACCAGUGGAGCAUACCACAGCUGUGUUCAGAGCCCUGCCACUGCACUUCCUAUCCAGCACCUUGAUGUAGAAUUAUCAUUUGACCAUUCAGUGUCAAAGUGUGUAUUAGUCCAGGUCAAAGUGUGUAUUAUUUGUGGUGUUUUUCUAAUCUUGUACAUUCCUAUGACAACGACCCCUGUGUUGUCUAGUUGUGCUCGUCUCUGAAGACAACAGCAUGAUCACCGUUGGAAGCACGCCAGUGACCACACUGCUAAUAGUAUUGCAAAGGGAAAUUCUCCAAGAUUCCAUCCAUGACAGAGAUUCAACCCCCACCUACAAAAAAGCCCUUGGUGAGUGGAGUCUCAUGUCUGACAAAGUUGUGUUUCAGAAAAAGUUUCAGAAAAAGUCACAAGUCAUCAGCCUCACCUCAGGCUACCACCCUCAGUCCAAUAGCCAAGUGGAGCGGGCCAGUCAGGAAGUAGGAAGAUUUCUACAGUCCUUCCGUGCUUCUAACCAAGAAGAUUUGGCCCACUUCCUCCCAUGGGCCAAAUAUGCCCAAAAUUCUCUGAGGCAUUCAGCCACCCAGUUUACCCCCUUUCCAGUGCAUCGUCGGUUACUAAGCUCCCCUAUUCCCAAGGACAGUCCUGACAGUCCUCAAUGCAAAUGAACUUUGCAAAGUAUUCGUUCAGCUCUGUUUCUCAUCUGACAUACCAAGCCUUUGAUUCAUGUUUACUACUUCUGGUUUUGACCCACUUUUUUCUCAUUUCAUGAUUAUAGUCUCAUCUUCUGAAUACCUGUUAGUACAUCGCAUAACCCUUUGCCUGAUUCUGGAUUCUGGCCUUGACAGAAUCCAGUCUUUAUUUUUAAUAAAAGCAUUUGCCACAAUUGUCGCUGUAUCUGCCGCAUAACAGAACAACCAGAAGACAAACCUUUAAGAUAUUGUACUAUAUUUUAUAAUCUUAUAAAUUAUAAUAUAAAUUUAUAAUUGUAUAUUUUAUAAAAGUCAACACUGUGUCUAAAUAUGACGAAUAUUAAAAGCCACACAUUGAUGAACUGCUUGAACAGAUAUGCAUGGCUCACUUUUAUUCGACACUGAAUUUAACCAAGGCGUAUUGGCAGAUUCCCUUGACUCAAAUAACCUUAAAAAUGGCUUUUUCCACUCUGUUUAGGUUAUACCAAUUUGUCACCCUUCUGUUCUCAUGGACAAAAUACUCUCAUGGACAAAAUACUCCACAUGCACAGUACAUAUGCUUCUCCGUAUUUAGAUGAUGUAGUCAUUUAUAGUAAUGAUUGGCAGCGGCAUUUACAACAUCUAAGAGCUGUCCUAAAAUCCUUGAGAUGAGCAGGACUCACAGCAAACCCAAAGAAGUGUGCAGUUGGACAGGUGGAAGUAAGGUAUCUGAGCUUCCACUUGGGCCAUGGGCUGGUGUGUCUGCCCAAACAGGCUAAAAGCUAUAAGAAUUCUAUAAUAAAUAUAAUAGCUUGAAUAAUGGUGUGUUGUGACUGACUUCCCCCACUAUACUAAAAAUAAAAUCAUGGCUAUGCUUAAUGGACCCACUUUGAGGAAGACUACUCAAGGAAACGUAAAUCAUUACCUGGUUGUCUACUGAAACUUGAUUAGCUUUAAUGAAAUCUGUAAACCUGAACCUGAAAAACACAAACCACUGUGGGAAAGAUUGCCCAGUAAUGGUUAAACAGGUUUCUAAAAUGAUAUAUAGUGAGCUUAAUUUUAAAAUCCAAGAAAGGCACAUUGCAAACAGUGAGAAAUUCAGGCAUUACAUGCAGCGCAUGGACAGAUGCUAAUUGGCCCACAGCUUCUCUCUUAGAAUGGAUGAUAGGUGGCCCACUGGCCUGCAUGUUGCAAUUUUUUCUUUUACCUUAUGGUGGUAGCACACUGUGUUAACACAUAUAGCUAAAUUGCAAGAGCCUUUUUUCUCUGACACCUGCAAAUUAAUGUACUGUAUGAUAUUUAGUCAUGGCUACAGACAAAUGCACAAAGUUAACAGUGAGAAGGGGUGAUUUCAAAUGUGUGUGCCUCAUAUGUCAAGAGACUGUUGCAGUAAUUGAGGAAUUUAAUAUCAUGAAACAUUAUGAAACAAAUCAUGGGUGAUGCAAAAAAUAUUCAGAAGAUGAGAGGGCAGCUGAAAGCUAAGGUCCAUAAGUAUUUGGACAGUGACAUGAUAUUUGUAAUUUUGCACCACCAGAAUGGAUUUGAAAUGAAGUAAUCAAGAUGUGAUUGUUGUGUAGUCCUUAAGCUUUAAUUCAAGAGAUUUAACAAAAAAUAUUGCAUUAACCACUUAGGAAUUACAACCAUUUUUUACAUAGUCCCUCCAUUGUCACAGGCUCAAAAGUAAUUGGACAAACUAACAAUCAUAAAUAUUAGGAUUCAUUUUAAUGAGUUUUCUCCAUUGAGAUGCUUUACCAGGCCCUUACUUCAGCUACUCAGUGAAAAGUAUGCUCUAUUGGGUUGAAGUCAGGUGAAUGACUUGGCUGUUUAAGAACAUUCCAUUUCUUUGCCUUAAGAAGCUAUUGGGUUGCUUUCGCAGUACAUUUUGGGUCAUUAUCCAUCUGUACUGUGAAGUGCUGUCCUAUCAGUUUUGCAGCAUUUGACUGAAUCUGAGCAGAAAGUAAGGAUCUAUACACUUUAGAAUUCAUCUUGCUACUCCUGCCAUCAGUCACAUCAUCAAUAAACACCACUGACCCAGCUCCACUGGCAGCCAAACAUGCCCAUGCCAUAACACUGCCUCCACAAAUUUGACAAAUGAUGUGGUAUGCUUUGGAUUACGAGCCCUUCCUUUACUUCUCCAUACUCUUCUCUUCCCAUCAUUCUGGUACAAGUUAAUCUUGCAUCAGAACUGGUCAGGGUUUUUUAGAAGUCUUUUAGUAAAGUCUAAUCUGGCAUUUCUUUUCUUGAGUGUUACCAGUGGUUUACAUCUUGAGGUAAACCGUCUAUAUUUACAUUCAUGAAGGCAUCUCUUGAUUGUAGACCUUGACAAUGAUAGACCUACCUCCUCCAGCGUGUUCUUGACUUGGCUAGAUGUUGUAAAGGAGUUUUUCUUCACCAAGGACAAAUUCUGCAGUUAUUCACUUUAGUUUUAUUCAGUGGCCUUCCAGGCCUUUUGGUGUUGCUGAGCUCACCAAUGUGUUUCUUCACUUGCACUGACAUCUCUUUGGACCACAUAUUGAGAGCUCCAGGAACAGCUACAAAAUGCAAAUUCAAUGCUUGGAAUCAACUCCAGACUGUUUAUCUCCUUAAUUUGUGAUGAAAUAAUGAGGAAAGAGGUCACACCUGGCCAUGAAACUGCUUAUCAGUCAAUGGUCCAAUUACUUUUGAGCCUGUGAAAAUGGAGUGACUAUGUAAAAAAUGGCAGUAAGUCCU
Molecule: long non-coding RNA, 4222 nt
Organism: Pangasianodon hypophthalmus (striped catfish)
Lineage: Eukaryota; Metazoa; Chordata; Actinopteri; Siluriformes; Pangasiidae
Exons: 3
Source: RefSeq, a predicted model, not a curated record